AUUCCAGCUCCAAUAGCGUAUGUUAAAGUUGUUGCGGCUAAAAAGCUCGUAGUUGGAUUUCUAGAUGAGAGGAGUGGUCCACUCUAUGAGUGUGUAUCUACUUCCGCUUGUCUAUCCGCUCUGCAGACGUGUUCGCGCUUAAGUGCGUGGUACGGAGGUAGGGCCUUUUACUUUGAGGAAAUUAGAGUGUUCACGGCAGGCAUCCGCCUUGAAUAUAUUAGCAUGGAAUAAUAACAUGGGAUCUUGGUUCUAUUUUGUUGGUUUCUAGGACUAAGAUAAUGAUUAAUAGGGACAAUUGGGGGCAUUCGUAUCGCGGUGUCAGAGGUGGAAUUCUUGGAUUACUGCGCGACGAACUACUGCGAAAGCAUUUGCCAAGGAUGUUUUCAUCA
This 389-nucleotide ribosomal RNA is filed under the name Syndiniales sp. RNAcentral's name for it is "partial small subunit ribosomal RNA". It matches the Rfam family "Eukaryotic small subunit ribosomal RNA", at positions 582 to 975 of the family's 1831-position model. The record is from RNAcentral. Lineage: Eukaryota; Dinophyceae; Syndiniales.